UGCCAGCAGCCGCGGUAAUACGGAGGGUCCAAGCGUUAUCCGGAAUCAUUGGGUUUAAAGGGUCCGUAGGCGGAAUAAUAAGUCAGUGGUGAAAGUCUGCAGCUCAACUGUAGAAUUGCCAUUGAUACUGUUGUUCUUGAAUUAUUAUGAAGUGGUUGGAAUAAGUAGUGUAGCGGUGAAAUGCAUAGAUAUUACUUAGAACACCUAUUGCGAAGGCAGAUCACUAAUAAUAUAUUGACGCUGAGGGACGAAAGCGUAGGUAGCGAACAGGAUUAGAUA
RNAcentral lists this ribosomal RNA (279 nucleotides) under uncultured bacterium. RNAcentral describes it as "partial 16S ribosomal RNA". It matches the Rfam family "Bacterial small subunit ribosomal RNA", at positions 506 to 784 of the family's 1533-position model. The record is from RNAcentral.